UUCUUGGAGAGUUUGAUCCUGGCUCAGGACGAACGCUGGCGGCGUGCCUAACACAUGCAAGUCGAGCGGGGUUGAGGCGAGAGGUAACUCGAGCUUCUACCUAGCGGCGGACGGGUGAGUAACGCGUGGGCAACCUGCCUCAAGGUUUGGGAUAACAGCCCGAAAGGGCUGCUAAUACCGGAUAUGCCUAUGGCCUCGCAUGG
Molecule: ribosomal RNA, 203 nt
Filed under: Bacillota bacterium
Lineage: Bacteria; Bacillati; Bacillota
Description: partial 16S ribosomal RNA
Rfam family: Bacterial small subunit ribosomal RNA
Source: RNAcentral